UACGGAGGGUGCAAGCGUUAUCCGGAUUUACUGGGUUUAAAGGGUGUGUAGGCGGGUCUAUAAGUCAGGGGUGAAAUCUCCGGGCUCAACCCGGAAACUGCCAUUGAUACUAUAGGUCUUGAAUAUUGUGGAGGUGGGCGGAAUGUGUCAUGUAGCGGUGAAAUGCUUAGAGAUGACACAGAACACCGAUUGCGAAGGCAGCCCACUACGCAACUAUUGACGCUGAGGCACGAAAGCGUGGGGAUCAAACAGG
Molecule: ribosomal RNA, 253 nt
Filed under: uncultured bacterium
Lineage: Bacteria
Description: partial 16S ribosomal RNA
Rfam family: Bacterial small subunit ribosomal RNA
Source: RNAcentral